RNAcentral lists this ribosomal RNA (479 nucleotides) under uncultured bacterium. RNAcentral's name for it is "partial 16S ribosomal RNA". It matches the Rfam family "Bacterial small subunit ribosomal RNA", at positions 28 to 507 of the family's 1533-position model. The record is from RNAcentral.
GACGAACGCUGGCGGCGCGCUUAACACAUGCAAGUCGAGCGAUGAAAUUUCGACAGAUCCCUUCGGGGUGAAGAUGAAAUGGAUUAGCGGCGGACGGGUGAGUAACACGUGAGUAACCUGCCUUUGACAUUGGGAUAGCCUCGGGAAACUGGGAUUAAUACCAAAUGACACUAACUGAUCACAUGAUCAAUUAGUCAAAGAAAUUCGGUCAAAGAAGGACUCGCGGCUGAUUAGCUAGUUGGUGAGGUAACGGCCCACCAAGGCGACGAUCAGUAGCCGGCCUGAGAGGGUGAUCGGCCACAUUGGAACUGAGACACGGUCCAAACUCCUACGGGAGGCAGCAGUGGGGAAUAUUGCACAAUGGGGGAAACCCUGAUGCAGCGACGCCGCGUGAGCGAAGAAGGCCUUCGGGUCGUAAAGCUCUUUUAUGAGGGAAGAUAAUGACGGUACCUCAAGAAAAAGCCCCGGCUAACUACGUG